CCGUGCAGCCGGGGAGUCAGCGGUGCCCUGUACCUACAAUCCGCUAUAGUGGGGGUGAUGUCCUGCCCCGGGUUUUUUACUGCAGAGCUGCCCUUUAUAAGUGGUGUUGACGUCUGGGUCUCGCGCAACAAAAAUUCAUGAAUCGUGUCAGGUCAGGAAUGAAGCAGCACUAAGUGAAACCUUUUGUGUGCCGUGAGGUAGCCUGGGCCGAGCUAACUGUAGAGGUAACGUUUGUGGUAGGAAUUCAAAGCAGGACGCACGG
RNAcentral lists this signal recognition particle RNA (262 nucleotides) under Anaerobium acetethylicum. RNAcentral describes it as "Bacterial large signal recognition particle RNA". It matches the Rfam family "Bacterial large signal recognition particle RNA". Rfam says of the family: The signal recognition particle (SRP) is a universally conserved ribonucleoprotein involved in the co-translational targeting of proteins to membranes. Archaeal SRP consists of a 7S RNA and homologues of the eukaryotic SRP19 and SRP54 proteins. Lineage: Bacteria; Bacillati; Bacillota; Clostridia; Lachnospirales; Lachnospiraceae. The record is from Rfam by way of RNAcentral.